Molecule: ribosomal RNA, 488 nt
Filed under: uncultured bacterium
Lineage: Bacteria
Description: bacterial SSU rRNA
Rfam family: Bacterial small subunit ribosomal RNA
Source: RNAcentral
GAUGAACGCUAGCGGCAGGCUUAACACAUGCAAGUCGAGGGGUAGAGGAAGCUUGCUUCCUUGAGACCGGCGCACGGGUGCGCAGCGCGUAUGCAAUCUACCUUAUACAGGGGGAUAGCCCAGAGAAAUUUGGAUUAAUACCCCAUAGUAUAAUUGAAUGGCAUCAUUUAAUUAUUGAAGUUCCAACGGUAUAAGAUGAGCAUGCGUCCCAUUAGCUAGUUGGUGUGGUAACGGCACACCAAGGCGACGAUGGGUAGGGUCCUGAGAGGGAGAUCCCCCACACUGGUACUGAGACACGGACCAGACUCCUACGGGAGGCAGCAGUGAGGAAUAUUGGUCAAUGGGCGCAAGCCUGAACCAGCCAUGCCGCGUGCAGGAUGACGGUCCUAUGGAUUGUAAACUGCUUUUGACAGGAAGAAACACUCCCUCGUGAGGGAGCUUGACGGUACUGUAAGAAUAAGGAUCGGCUAACUCCGUGCCAGCAGCCG